UGUGGGAUUCACACAAUAUAUGCUUAGCGCGAAAGUUGAUAUUGACAGGCGCCAUGAUGUUAUACCGGUAAACAACAUUUUGAACAUGAAUUGAGAACAGGAGUUGAAUCAGUUGAUGCAGAUAUUCUGAGGAGAAUCUUCCAGUCAUUGAAAUAUAUUUCACGAUAGUCGUGCAGAUUCCGAAGUUGUGAUGGUGUGUUGAUAGGCUGUCUUCAACUUGCCAUAUCUGAGAGUUCCAACAUGCAGGCCUGGAUUAAUGUUUUAUCACAACAAAUGGAUGGGACAGUAGAGCUGUUGCGGACAAUAUGUGAUUGUGAUGACCAAGUACUGAACAAGUGGAAGAUUAGAAGAAGGUCCAGAAUUCAAUCAUGUUUUUGAUUCUAAGGUGCAGACAGCAUGGGGAUAGUCCUAUUAUUCUCCCGUUCAUCUAUGAUGGAGAAACUUGUGUAAAUGUUUACAGUGUUCUCCCUAAUAAUUAAGUGCCCACAAGUCUGUAUUAAUUUAUCAGAAUAUGAAGUCCUUCACAGUACUGAUUUUAAAAUUAAUGUAGAUUGUCUCCAGAUUUUUCUGAGGAAAAGUGCAUAGUUUACAUGUGUGAAUUUUGAAUAUAUUUCAUUCUUGUCUGCAAAUGUUGUCGAAACCUGUUGUUAUUGAUGCACAUAGUCAUGUUAUGCAAAUGAUAGACCUCCUUCUUAAUUACAUGUACAUACGAUCAUGUCAACUCCUUUGUCUUAAUUGUAUACACAAUUCUAGCAUUUAUAGCAUCAUUUAUAUAGCACUUGCUAGUUUAAGAAGGAUUUUAUUUUCUAAAAGCUUUCAUUUGACAUGAUUGAUCUAAAACGGACAAAAUUCACAAAUCUAUUUAAAUCACAACCUGACCUUAGGCCAGAAAAGUGCCACUGUGGGUUGAUAUUUUUCUCUUGGAUCUUGAAAGAAAUUGUUUAUGCAGCAGUUUCCAAAUAAAAUGUACUCUCUAACAGUGCACAAUGCAAUAUUUGUAGAUUAGAAGUUGUUACAGUUUCUUUAAGUUUUCUCUCACAUCUUGUUAUAAUUAUAUUUUAUAUUUUUGGUCGGGUUGCACAAUGUGCAAACAUUUUAUAAAAUGGUGAAUGACUGGUGGGCAAGCGACAGUAGUGUCCCUGUAAUAGUACCUACUUUGUGUAGUCAACUCCUUUCACACCUCUCACUUGAUGUUCCUCAAACUUUGUACAGUUGUUAGGGAUACAUUGAAGAUGUGCAUGUGCCUUUUUCAAAGUGAUCAGACAUUUUUUGAAAAAAAUUACAUGUAGUUAAACUUCGUCAUUUUUUAAGCAUUUCUUUAAUCGACAGUAUCUAUUUUGUGUAAUCAACUCCUUGUAUACCUCUAACUUGACAUUCCUCAAACUGUGUACAUUUGUUAUGAACACAUUGAAGAUGUGCAUAUGUGUUUUUGAAAGUGAUCAGACAUUUAAAAUAAAAUAUAUGUAGUUGAACUUAGUCAUUUUUAAGCAUUUCUUGAAUAGAUGGUAACUAUUUUGUGUAAUCAAAUCCUCAUGCACCUCUAACUUGACAUUCCUUAAACUUUGUACAGUUGUUAUGAACACAUUGAAGAUGUGCAUGCAUCUUUUUGAAAAUGAUAAGACUUUUUAAAAAAAAAAUAUGUGUAGUUGAACUUUGUCAUUUUUAUGCAUUUCUUGAAUAGAUGGUACCUAGUUUGUGUGAUCAACUCGUGCACAUCUAAAUUGAUAUUCCUCAAACUUUGUACAGUAGUUAUGGACACAUUGAAGAUGUGCAUGUGUCUAUUUGAAAGUGGUCAGACUUUUUUCAAAAAAAUUACAUUUAGUUGAACUUUGUCAUUUUUUUAAGCAUUUCCUGAAUAGAUGGUACCUAUUUUGUGUGAUCAACUCGUGCACAUCUAAAUUGAUAUUCCUCAAACUUUGUACAGUAGUUAUGGACACAUUGAAGAUGUGCAUGUGUCUAUUUGAAAGUGGUCAGACUUUUUUCAAAAAAAUUACAUUUAGUUGAACUUUGUCAUUUUUUUAAGCAUUUCCUGAAUAGAUGGUACCUAUUUUUUGUAAUCAACUCCUCUUACAGCAUUUAUUUGACAUCCUUCAGACCUUGAACAGCUGUUAUGGAAGCAUUGCAAAUGUGCAUGUGUCUUUUCGGAAGUGAUCAGGCAUUCUUUGAAAAGAUUACAUGUGCAUGGUGAAGUUGAACUUAGUCAUUUUUUAAGCAUGGUACUUUAUGUAACCAACUCAGCUUUUACUUACAUUUUCCAGACCCUGUACAUUAUAUAUGUUUUAAAAACAUUGAAGAUAUGCAUGUAACAUUUUAAAAAUGCUUCUCUCUUUUUUUCUUUUUCUUUUUUCUCUUUUUUGUUGAAAAAUUCUACCUUUAAUUUGUCAUUUUUCCAGUAUGUUUCUACUGUUUUUCCUAUGAUAGAUAACAUAUUUUACAAGAACCCGGUCAUUUCUGUUUUUGAAUAAAAAAAUUUUAAUUAGUAUUUUUUAAUAAGUUAAUUAGUAUGAUAUGUCAUUGUUCUUGAAAUUAUAUUAAUUG
Molecule: long non-coding RNA, 2538 nt
Organism: Ostrea edulis (European flat oyster)
Lineage: Eukaryota; Metazoa; Mollusca; Bivalvia; Ostreida; Ostreidae
Exons: 3
Source: RefSeq, a predicted model, not a curated record